AGUUUGGUAGAGGAGAGUGGAAUUCCUAGUGUAGAGGUGAAAUUCGUAGAUAUUAGGAGGAACACCAGUGGCGAAGGCGACUCUCUGGGCCAAUACUGACGCUGAGGUUCGAAAGCGUGGGUAGCGAACAGGAUUAGAUACCCUGGUAGUCCACGCAGUAAACGAUGAGUGCUAGAUGUUGGGAACAUUAGUUUUCAGUAUCGCAGCUAACGCGUUAAGCACUCCGCCUGGGAAGUACGGCCGCAAGGCUAAAACUCAAAUGAAUUGACGGGGACCCGCACAAGCGGUGGAACAUGUGGUUUAAUUCGAUGCAACGCGAAGAACCUUACCUGGGUUUGACAUGUUCACGAAAGCUCUGUGAAAACAGAGCCCUCUGCGAGCUUGCUCAAAGACGUGAUCACAGGUGAUGCAUGGCU
RNAcentral lists this ribosomal RNA (416 nucleotides) under uncultured bacterium. RNAcentral's name for it is "bacterial SSU rRNA". It matches the Rfam family "Bacterial small subunit ribosomal RNA", at positions 645 to 1050 of the family's 1533-position model. The record is from RNAcentral.